RNAcentral lists this transfer RNA (78 nucleotides) under Vibrio campbellii. RNAcentral describes it as "tRNA-Leu". The record is from RNAcentral. Lineage: Bacteria; Pseudomonadati; Pseudomonadota; Gammaproteobacteria; Vibrionales; Vibrionaceae. RNAcentral also lists the same sequence under 1 other name.
GGUGGUGGAAUUGGUAGACACAAGGGAUUUAAAAUCCCUCGGCGUUCGCGCUGUGCCGGUUCAAGUCGGUAAUUAUCA